UGGGGAAUUUUGGACAAUGGGCGCAAGCCUGAUCCAGCCAUGCCGCGUGCGGGAAGAAGGCCUUCGGGUUGUAAACCGCUUUUGUCAGGGAAGAAAUCUUCUGAGUUAAUACCUCGGGAGGAUGACGGUACCUGAAGAAUAAGCACCGGCUAACUACGUGCCAGCAGCCGCGGUAAUACGUAGGGUGCAAGCGUUAAUCGGAAUUACUGGGCGUAAAGCGUGCGCAGGCGGUUUUGUAAGACAGAGGUGAAAUCCCCGGGCUCAACCUGGGAACUGCCUUUGUGACUGCAAGGCUUGAGUGCGGCAGAGGGGGAUGGAAUUCCGCGUGUAGCAGUGAAAUGCGUAGAUAUGCGGAGGAACACCGAUGGCGAAAGCAAUCCCCUGGGCCUGCACUGACGCUCAUGCACGAAAGCGUGGGGAGCAAACAGGAUUAGAUACCCUGGUAGUCCACGCCCUAAACGAUGUCAACUGGUUGUUGGGAAGGUUCCUUCUCAGUAACGUAGCUAACGCNUGAAGUUGACCGCCUGGGGAGUACGGCCGCAAGGUUGAAACUCAAAUGAAUUGACGGGGUCAUAGCUGUUUCCUG
RNAcentral lists this ribosomal RNA (586 nucleotides) under uncultured bacterium. RNAcentral describes it as "partial 16S ribosomal RNA". It matches the Rfam family "Bacterial small subunit ribosomal RNA", at positions 355 to 1376 of the family's 1533-position model. The record is from RNAcentral.